AUGAACGCUGGCGGCGUGCCUAACACAUGCAAGUCGAACGAAGCAAUUAAAAUGAAGUUUUCGGAUGGAUUUUUGAUUGACUGAGUGGCGGACGGGUGAGUAACGCGUGGAUAACCUGCCUCACACUGGGGGAUAACAGUUAGAAAUGACUGCUAAUACCGCAUAAGCGCACAGUACCGCAUGGUACGGUGUGAAAAACUCCGGUGGUGUGAGAUGGAUCCGCGUCUGAUUAGCCAGUUGGCGGGGUAACGGCCCACCAAAGCGACGAUCAGUAGCCGACCUGAGAGGGUGACCGGCCACAUUGGGACUGAGACACGGCCCAAACUCCUACGGGAGGCAGCAGUGGGGAAUAUUGCACAAUGGGCGAAAGCCUGGUGCAGCGACGCCGCGUGAGUGAAGAAGUAUUUCGGUAUGUAAAGCUCUAUCAGCAGGGAAGAAAAUGACGGUACCUGACUAAGAAGCCCCGGCUAACUACGUGCCAGCAGCCGCGGUAAUACGUAGGGGGCAAGCGUUAUCCGGAUUUACUGGGUGUAAAGGGAGCGUAUACGGCGAAUCAAGUCUGAAGUGAAAACCCAGGGCUCAACCCUGGGACUGCUUUGGAAACUGUUUUGCUAGAGUGUCGGAGAGGUAAGUGGAAUUCCUAGUGUAGCGGUGAAAUGCGUAGAUAUUAGGAGGAACACCAGUGGCGAAGGCGGCUUACUGGACGAUAACUGACGUUGAGGCUCGAAAGCGUGGGGAGCAAACAGGAUUA
This 751-nucleotide ribosomal RNA is filed under the name uncultured organism. RNAcentral describes it as "SSU rRNA". It matches the Rfam family "Bacterial small subunit ribosomal RNA", at positions 29 to 780 of the family's 1533-position model. The record is from RNAcentral.